RNAcentral lists this ribosomal RNA (439 nucleotides) under uncultured bacterium. Its description in RNAcentral is "partial 16S ribosomal RNA". It matches the Rfam family "Bacterial small subunit ribosomal RNA", at positions 339 to 795 of the family's 1533-position model. The record is from RNAcentral.
CUACGGGACGCUGCAGUGAGGAAUAUUGCACAAUGGGGGGAACCCUGAUGCAGCAACGCCGCGUGGAGGGUGACGCAUCUCGGUGUGUAAACUCCUUUUAUAUGUCAAGAAAAUGACGGUAGCAUAUGAAUAAGCACCGGCUAACUCCGUGCCAGCAGCCGCGGUAAUACGGAGGGUGCAAGCGUUACUCGGAAUCACUGGGCGUAAAGGACGCGUAGGCGGGUUGGAAAGUCAGGUGUGAAAUCCUACAGCUUAACUGUAGAACUGCACCUGAAACUUCUAAUCUAGAGUAUGGGAGGGGGAGAUGGAAUUAGUGGUGUAGGGGUAAAAUCCGUAGAUAUCACUAGGAAUACCUAAAGCGAAGGCGAUCUCCUGGAACAUUACUGACGCUAAGGCGUGAAAGCGUGGGGAGCAAACAGGAUUAGAUACCCGGGUAGUC